AACAGUCUCAACUGGAUAAAAGCAUGAUAAAUUGUCGCAAAGAUCAUUUUCCAGCCAGGUGCAUUUUAGAGCACACGGUUGGAAAGAAAGGUUUGGAAAAAGAAGUCGACAUGUUUCUCACAAUGGACCCUUGAUUUUGGACGCAAUUUUCAGUGACAGUGUCGAGAACACGAUUUGAAUACCUUUCCCAAAUUGAAUAUUCAUCAGGACAUUCCCGUGGCAGAUUGACCAAAGUAUUGUAAAAGAUAUUCUCAUCCAGCUUAAUCACACGGACAUUCCCGUGGCAGAUUGACCAAAGUAUUGUAAAAGAUAUUCUCAUCCAGCUUCAUCACACGGGCAUUUGUGAGACGUUUUGACACCACGAUUUGAAUGAAAGACAUUUCUUCUUUGGCCUUUGUUUCGUUAUAAUUUGAUUGAUUUAGAGGAUCUUUGUAUGUUUAUUGUAAAGUUGAAGGAUAAUUCAAGAUUUUGCAUCCUGCUCUCAAAUAGUUUCAGCGAUUGAUAGGACCCCUAUUUCAUAGAUUUUCAUACCCUACUUCCAAUUGGUUUUUUUACGAGGAUGUUUAUGAAACACAGGGUUCCCUCAUUGUAUUUUUACAGAGUUUGCCCCCUAUGCGUUAUAAACAUCUAUUAGAUUUUGCUUUAAAUGUGCUAUUUAACUUUGGAGGAUCCUCAACUCUAGCCAUUUAUUGUUACCAAUCUUGCAAUUGGUUUUUACGAGGAUGUUGGUGAAAUACACGCCUCCCCCAUUGUGAUAUAUUUGAGGGUUUGCCUCAAAUAUUUUGAAAACAUCAGAUUUUAGAUUUUGCUUUAGUUAUGGAUUUUAUUUUGAGGAUUCUCCACUCUAGGGUUGGCUCACCAAUAGUAACUAUUAAUUGUUGUUGUUUUCAAAAUUAGCAAACAUUUUGAUAAUUAUUAUGAUGAUGAAGUAAA
Molecule: non-coding RNA, 933 nt
Organism: Rhopilema esculentum
Lineage: Eukaryota; Metazoa; Cnidaria; Scyphozoa; Rhizostomeae; Rhizostomatidae
Source: RefSeq, a predicted model, not a curated record